This is a non-coding RNA of Ciona intestinalis (vase tunicate), 72 nucleotides long. Lineage: Eukaryota; Metazoa; Chordata; Ascidiacea; Phlebobranchia; Cionidae. The record is from Rfam.
GGCGCCGUGGCGUAGUGGUUAGCGCGCCUGCCUGUAGCGCAGAGGUAAUGGGUUCAAGGCUCGUCGCUGCUA